AGAGGUUCAAUUUUUAAGACAUGCCGCAGAUCAUUUUCCUAUCCUCCGUUUUCCACUCAGCAAUAUCAAUUAAUUAAAGAGUUUAAAUAUCAAGCCCAACAAUAAUUUCCAUCCUCACUAAAAUACAUUAAGAACAAAUAAAGGUGGAUCAAAAACUAAAAUAAAGGAAGUAGGUGAUCUGGGGUUUUAAGAAAAAAGAAAGUAAAUGGGCGUACGUUGUUCUUGGAAGUAAUAAUUUCCUUGGAGGUGACAGC
Molecule: long non-coding RNA, 254 nt
Filed under: Olea europaea (common olive)
Lineage: Eukaryota; Viridiplantae; Streptophyta; Magnoliopsida; Lamiales; Oleaceae
Description: long non-coding RNA (OEUR_LNC007599)
Source: RNAcentral